This 253-nucleotide ribosomal RNA is filed under the name uncultured bacterium. Its description in RNAcentral is "partial 16S ribosomal RNA". It matches the Rfam family "Bacterial small subunit ribosomal RNA", at positions 524 to 776 of the family's 1533-position model. The record is from RNAcentral.
UACGUAGGCAGCAAGCGUUGUUCGGAAUUACUGGGCGUAAAGAGUACGUAGGUGGUUUGCCAAGUCCGAUGUGAAAUCUCCUGGCUUAACUGGGAGGGUGUGUUAGAUACUGGCAGGCUUGAGUGUGGGAGAGGAGAGCGGAAUUCCUGGUGUAGCGGUGGAAUGCGCAGAUAUCAGGAGGAACACCGGUGGCGAAGGCGGGUCUCUGGGCAGUAACUGACGCUGAGGAGCGAAAGCGUGGGGAGCGAACAGG